AAACAGUUAAACAUCACUAGAUU
This 23-nucleotide small nuclear RNA is filed under the name Arabidopsis thaliana (thale cress). RNAcentral's name for it is "snRNA_12015". Lineage: Eukaryota; Viridiplantae; Streptophyta; Magnoliopsida; Brassicales; Brassicaceae. The record is from RNAcentral.